Molecule: ribosomal RNA, 254 nt
Filed under: uncultured bacterium
Lineage: Bacteria
Description: partial 16S ribosomal RNA
Rfam family: Bacterial small subunit ribosomal RNA
Source: RNAcentral
UACGUAGGGGGCAAGCGUUGUCCGGAAUCAUUGGGCGUAAAGCGCGUGUAGGCGGUUCCGUAAGUCCGCUCUGAAAGCCCAGGGCUCAACCCUGGGAGGCGGGUGGAUACUACGGAACUGGAGUACGGAAGAGGAGAUUGGAAUUCCUGGUGUAGCGGUGAAAAUGCGCAGAUAUCAGGAGGAACACCAACAGCGAAGGCAGAUCUCUGGGACGUUACUGACGCUGAGACGCGAAAGCGUGGGGAGCAAACAGG